AGAAAACAAGGCAAAAGCUAGUGGUGCAAGUCAACUUGUUGUUAGGGAUUUGAAAGAGGAAUUUGUGAAAGAUUUCAUCUUUCCUUGUUUAAGAGCUGGCGCAAUCUACGAAAGAAAAUAUCUGCUUGGAACUUCGAUGGCUCGCCCUGUUAUUGCCAAGGCUAUGGUUGAUGUUGCUAAAGAAGUUGGUGCAGAUGCUGUUUCACAUGGAUGCACAGGGAAAGGAAAUGAUCAGGUUCGAUUCGAACUUACUUUCUUUGCUUUAAAUCCUGAACUCAAUGUUGUGGCCCCAUGGAGGGAAUGGGAGAUCGAAGGCCGAGAAGACGCAAUUGAAUAUGCUAAGAAACAUAAUGUUCCAGUCCCAGUUUCAAAGAAAUCUAUAUACAGCAGAGAUCGGAACCUAUGGCACCUGAGCCAUGAGGGGGAUAUCUUGGAGGAUCCAGCAAACGAGCCGAAGGAGGACAUGUACAUGAUGACCGUUGGCGCAGAAGAAGCACCCGAUCAGCCCGAGUACGUCGAGAUCGGUAUCGUCUCGGGCACACCCAUCUCCCUCAACGGAAAGGACCUCUCACCCGCCACCCUCCUCUCCAAGCUCAACGAUAUUGGCGGGAAGCACGGGAU
RNAcentral lists this unclassified non-coding RNA (621 nucleotides) under Hevea brasiliensis (rubber tree). Lineage: Eukaryota; Viridiplantae; Streptophyta; Magnoliopsida; Malpighiales; Euphorbiaceae. The record is from RNAcentral.